This 54-nucleotide transfer RNA is filed under the name Paratelmatobius gaigeae (Gaige's rapids frog). Its description in RNAcentral is "partial tRNA-Val". The record is from RNAcentral. Lineage: Eukaryota; Metazoa; Chordata; Amphibia; Anura; Leptodactylidae.
CUAAAGCAUCUCGCUUACACCGAGAAAACACCUGUGAAAACCAGGUUAUUUCGA